GCCUGGGUGGCUCAGUCAGUUAGGCGUCUGACUUUGGUUCAGGUCAUGAUCUCAUGGUUCGUGGGUUCAAGCCCCACUUUGGGCU
Molecule: transfer RNA, 85 nt
Filed under: Felis catus (domestic cat)
Lineage: Eukaryota; Metazoa; Chordata; Mammalia; Carnivora; Felidae
Also listed under: 2 other names
Rfam family: tRNA
About the family: Transfer RNA (tRNA) molecules are approximately 80 nucleotides in length. Their secondary structure includes four short double-helical elements and three loops (D, anti-codon, and T loops). Further hydrogen bonds mediate the characteristic L-shaped molecular structure. tRNAs have two regions of fundamental functional importance: the anti-codon, which is responsible for specific mRNA codon recognition, and the 3' end, to which the tRNAs corresponding amino acid is attached (by aminoacyl-tRNA synthetases). tRNAs cope with the degeneracy of the genetic code in two manners: having more than one tRNA (with a specific anti-codon) for a particular amino acid; and 'wobble' base-pairing, i.e. permitting non-standard base-pairing at the 3rd anti-codon position.
Source: Rfam by way of RNAcentral